This 1338-nucleotide ribosomal RNA is filed under the name Triticum aestivum (bread wheat). RNAcentral describes it as "partial small subunit ribosomal RNA". Lineage: Eukaryota; Viridiplantae; Streptophyta; Magnoliopsida; Poales; Poaceae. The record is from RNAcentral.
AUGGACUCCACAGCGACCGGACCCGAGCUCGCGGCGUCCCACGACGAGGAGGAGGCGGCUCCCCUCGUCUCCGGCGCCGGCGACGGCCGCCGCGGCGCAGGCACAGCGUCGCAGACCCGCGACCUGCACCUCCUCAGCCUGGCCUUCUUCUUCGUCUUCCUCGCCUACCACGCCGCCCAGAACCUCCAGAGCACCGUCAACACGGACGGCAAUUUGGGUUCGAUAUCGCUGGGCUUGCUGUACACGUCGUUCACGGCGUUCUCGGUCGUGGGUUCGCCGGUGGUGCGAGCGAUGGGGUCCAGGCGGGCGCUCGUGCUCGGCACCUCCGGCUACCUCCUCUUCAUCGCCGCCAACCUCGCCCCCUCCUGGUACACAAUGGUACCAGCUUCACUGUACCUGGGUUUUACCGCAUCAAUCAUUUGGGUUGGGCAGGGCACAUAUCUUACUUCUGCUGCCCUCAGUCAUGCAAGAGACAACAAUUUGCCCGACGGUCCAACUUUAGGAAGCUUUAAUGGAGAAUUCUGGGGUGUGUUCGCUAGCACACAGGUCAUUGGGAAUUUGAUCUCACUUGCUCUACUGAGAAAUGGAAAGGAUGGAGGAAGUGUAACAGGAAAAAAUCUGCUGUUUGUUGUGUUCCUUGGAUGCAUGAUUAUCGGCAUUGUAUUGAUGUGUUUACUGUCCAAAAGGGAUGAGAAACGAGAUAAUGCUUCGACACACUCCUCAUUUGGAUCUAUGUUGAAGUAUAUUGUUGCCCCUCUCAAGGACCGUAGGAUGAUUCUUCUGAUCCCUCUUAUCGCAUAUUCAGGUUUACAGCAGGCAUUUGUAUGGGCUGUAUUCACAAAGAGUAUUGUGACACCUGUGCUUGGCAUAUCUGGAGUUGGUGGCGCCAUGGCAAUUUAUGGCGCAUCUGAUGUAGUUUGUUCAUUGGUUGCUGGACGUUUUACCUCUGGGCUUCAUUCAGCUACAUUUAUAGUGUCAGUUGGAGCUAUCGUUCAGGCUGUGGUCCUGUUCUGGUUGCUUCUUUUUUACAGUCCAAUGGAGGGGCUACUUGGUGCAGCGAUUCCACUAUUUAUAGGUGCCUUAUGGGGUGUUGGUGACGGAGUCUUGAACACACAGUUAAGCGCAUUACUUGGAUUGCUGUUCGAGGAUGUCAAGGAAGCAGCUUUUGCACAGUUGAAGGUUUGGCAAUCAGGUGCCAUCGCAGUCAUCUUCUUCUUGAGCCCAAGCAUCACACUACAAGCAAUGCUUAUCUUGAUGGCCACAUCACUCGUCAUCUCCUUUGGCUUGUUCCUGUUACUUACCCUUGUUGUCGAGAAGCCAUCAAGCAUCAGAGCAUGA